Molecule: long non-coding RNA, 1009 nt
Organism: Notolabrus celidotus (New Zealand spotty)
Lineage: Eukaryota; Metazoa; Chordata; Actinopteri; Labriformes; Labridae
Exons: 5
Source: RefSeq, a predicted model, not a curated record
GGUAAUGGAGAAGAAGAGGGCGGCAUUUUUCACCCCACUGGAACUGGACAUCCUUAUUCGCUCAUAUGGCGAGUUUGAGCAUGUUUUUUUUUUAAAAUGCAACACCGCUGCAGGUGCCAAACAGAGGGAGACGGCAUGGGAGAACAUUGCGGCUCGGGUCAAUGCGUACGUUUAAAUGUAGUCCUUUGCAAUCACAGGGGGAAACUGCUUGAAUGGUAGCCUAUUAAUUUAUUUCAUUUAGGUGCAAUCACGCGGGGGAGAAGCGCACCUGGCAGCAGCUUAGGAUGAAAUAUAAAAACAUUGUUCAAACAGACUUCUACUCAGCCAACAAAAAGAAAGCAGAUGCCCGUAAAACGGGUGGCGGCCGAGCACCGCCACCUCUAACGGAGGCAGAGGCGCUGGCCCUGAGACAGAAUUUUGGAAGGCCAGCGACUGAGGGAAUCCCUGGAGGGAGCUCAUCCUCUGAGCCCACCCACCAAGACACAAGUGCCUUUAUAACACGUAAUAUCCCUAGACCUAUAUAUCUUUUUUUAAGCCUAUUCAUACAAAUAUUUAUUUCCCUUUUCAUUUUUUUUUUUUUUUUCUCCCAACAUAUUCUGAUGGUGCGAUCUGCCUGGUGGAGCCCCCUCACGCCACAACAGACCUAGUAACUGAUGAAGAGUGCGAGGAGACUUUGUGUGCUGCCUUCACAGAGGGGGAACCAGAAAGGCCUGUAGAGGGCAUGGCUGGGCAGCAGCAGGAGGGUCCCUCAACUUCAACUGCACAGAUUGACACAGUGAGAUGGAUGUUCAGUAAACACCAGAGGUUCAUUCUGUGGAAUUCAUGUGCAACUGUAUAAUUUAAUGUCCUCCUUAUGUAUUCCCAGUUAAAGAUAUCUACAAAAUAUUUCUUCUGAAAAAAAUUGAAAAAAACAACAAAGAAAUGCAGUUCUUGGACCGCCAGAUGAGAAGGGCAGAUCUCGAAAUUGAAUUACUAGAGCACAAGUUAGAGGAAAUAAAGAAGACCAAAU